AUUGAACGCUGGCGGCAUGCCUUACACAUGCAAGUCGAACGGUAACAGGUCUUCGGAUGCUGACGAGUGGCGAACGGGUGAGUAAUACAUCGGAACGUGCCUAGUAGUGGGGGAUAACUACUCGAAAGAGUGGCUAAUACCGCAUGAGAUCUACGGAUGAAAGCAGGGGAUCGCAAGACCUUGUGCUACUAGAGCGGCCGAUGGCAGAUUAGGGAGUGGGUGGGAUAAAAGCUUACCAAGCCGACGAUCUGUAGCUGGUCUGAGAGGACGAUCAGCCACACUGGGACUGAGACACGGCCCAGACUCCUACGGGAGGCAGCAGUGGGGAAUUUUGGACAAUGGGCGAAAGCCUGAUCCAGCAAUGCCGCGUGCAGGAUGAAGGCCUUCGGGUUGUAAACUGCUUUUGUACGGAACGAAAAGCCCCGGGUUAAUACCCUGGGGUCAUGACGGUACCGUAAGAAUAAGCACCGGCUAACUACGUGUCAGCAGCCGCAGUAA
RNAcentral lists this ribosomal RNA (498 nucleotides) under uncultured bacterium. Its description in RNAcentral is "partial 16S ribosomal RNA". It matches the Rfam family "Bacterial small subunit ribosomal RNA", at positions 30 to 523 of the family's 1533-position model. The record is from RNAcentral.